UACGUAGGGGGCCAGCGUUGUCCGGAAUCAUUGGGCGUAAAGCGCGCGUAGGCGGUCAGGUAAGUCCGGUGUGAAAGUCAAAGGCUCAACCUUUGAAUGCCGCUGGAUACUGCUUGACUUGAGUCCGGAAGGGGCGAGUGGAAUUCCUGGUGUAGCGGUGGAAUGCGCAGAUAUCAGGAGGAACACCAAUAGCGAAGGCAGCUCGCUGGGACGAUACUGACGCUAAGGCGCGAAAGCGUGGGGAGCGAACAGG
RNAcentral lists this ribosomal RNA (253 nucleotides) under uncultured bacterium. RNAcentral describes it as "partial 16S ribosomal RNA". It matches the Rfam family "Bacterial small subunit ribosomal RNA", at positions 524 to 776 of the family's 1533-position model. The record is from RNAcentral.